This 311-nucleotide unclassified non-coding RNA is filed under the name Bombus terrestris (buff-tailed bumblebee). RNAcentral describes it as "misc RNA ENSBTSG00005029229.1". Lineage: Eukaryota; Metazoa; Arthropoda; Insecta; Hymenoptera; Apidae. The record is from RNAcentral.
GAACCGCAUUGUAAUCAUUUCGUUGCUCUUAAUAAUAUAUAUUAAAUCAAAACAUCAUUACUUGUCCUUUCUCUCUAAGACCCAUUUGGAUACUACAUGCGGAUACCCCGAGUAGAAAUUCACUGCCGGGUGCUGUGUAUGUGGCUGAGUGUGAGGACGGGCUGAUUGCACGGUUGAGAAGCGCACAGAAGAAGGGCAUUGAAGUCCGUAAGAUUUUAGAUGCCGCAACGUGUAGUCAGGCCGAUAGAUAUGUAACCAGAAGAUUAAUCGACGAAGAGUGGGGCGUGAAUUUCGAAAAACAGCGUCGUGAG